Molecule: ribosomal RNA, 1424 nt
Filed under: uncultured Vibrio sp.
Lineage: Bacteria; Pseudomonadati; Pseudomonadota; Gammaproteobacteria; Vibrionales; Vibrionaceae
Description: bacterial SSU rRNA
Rfam family: Bacterial small subunit ribosomal RNA
Source: RNAcentral
ACACAUGCAGUCGAGCGGUAACAGAUCGAAGCUUGCUUUUUUUGAUGACGAGCGGCGGACGGGUGAGUAAUGCCUGGGAAUAUGCCUUGAUGUGGGGGAUAACCAUUGGAAACGAUGGCUAAUACCGCAUAAUGCCUACGGGCCAAAGAGGGGGAUCUUCGGACCUCUCGCGUCAAGAUUAGCCCAGGUGGGAUUAGCUAGUUGGUGAGGUAAUGGCUCACCAAGGCGACGAUCCCUAGCUGGUCUGAGAGGAUGAUCAGCCACACUGGAACUGAGACACGGUCCAGACUCCUACGGGAGGCAGCAGUGGGGAAUAUUGCACAAUGGGCGCAAGCCUGAUGCAGCCAUGCCGCGUGUGUGAAGAAGGCCUUCGGGUUGUAAAGCACUUUCAGUCGUGAGGAAGGUAGUUGCGUUAAUAGCGUAAUUAUUUGACGUUAGCGACAGAAGAAGCACCGGCUAACUCCGUGCCAGCAGCCGCGGUAAUACGGAGGGUGCGAGCGUUAAUCGGAAUUACUGGGCGUAAAGCGCAUGCAGGUGGUUUGUUAAGUCAGAUGUGAAAGCCCGGGGCUCAACCUCGGAAUUGCAUUUGAAACUGGCAGACUAGAGUACUGUAGAGGGGGGUAGAAUUUCAGGUGUAGCGGUGAAAUGCGUAGAGAUCUGAAGGAAUACCGGUGGCGAAGGCGGCCCCCUGGACAGAUACUGACACUCAGAUGCGAAAGCGUGGGGAGCAAACAGGAUUAGAUACCCUGGUAGUCCACGCCGUAAACGAUGUCUACUUGGAGGUUGUGGCCUUGAGCCGUGGCUUUCGGAGCUAACGCGUUAAGUAGACCGCCUGGGGAGUACGGUCGCAAGAUUAAAACUCAAAUGAAUUGACGGGGGCCCGCACAAGCGGUGGAGCAUGUGGUUUAAUUCGAUGCAACGCGAAGAACCUUACCUACUCUUGACAUCCAGAGAAGCCAGCGGAGACGCAGGUGUGCCUUCGGGAACUCUGAGACAGGUGCUGCAUGGCUGUCGUCAGCUCGUGUUGUGAAAUGUUGGGUUAAGUCCCGCAACGAGCGCAACCCUUAUCCUUGUUUGCCAGCGAGUAAUGUCGGGAACUCCAGGGAGACUGCCGGUGAUAAACCGGAGGAAGGUGGGGACGACGUCAAGUCAUCAUGGCCCUUACGAGUAGGGCUACACACGUGCUACAAUGGCGCAUACAGAGGGCUGCCAACCAGCGAUGGUGAGCGAAUCCCAAAAAGUGCGUCGUAGUCCGGAUUGGAGUCUGCAACUCGACUCCAUGAAGUCGGAAUCGCUAGUAAUCGUGGAUCAGAAUGCCACGGUGAAUACGUUCCCGGGCCUUGUACACACCGCCCGUCACACCAUGGGAGUGGGCUGCAAAAGAAGUGGGUAGUUUAACCUUCGAGGAGGACGCUCACCACUUU